RNAcentral lists this long non-coding RNA (624 nucleotides) under Rattus norvegicus (Norway rat). Its description in RNAcentral is "long non-coding RNA NONRATT026043". The record is from RNAcentral. Lineage: Eukaryota; Metazoa; Chordata; Mammalia; Rodentia; Muridae.
CUUUUUUGGGUUUUGAGGCACAGUCUUGCUCUAUUCUCCCGCCCCUCGCUGCUGGGAUUCUGUGACAUCACGCCCUGCUGUUCAUUGCUGGGAACUGAGCUCAGGGCUCUGUGAAUGCUAGGAAGCCCCGUACCAGGGGCUCACAUUCUCAGUCUACCACACCAGGUUAUAAGGUGUUUUGUUUUGUUGUGUGUGUGUGGGGUUUGUUUUGUUUUGUUUUUCCCUCUUUAAGAUUUUGUUGUUUUAAUUUUUGUAUGUGUAUAUGUGUAGGUACACUCAGAGGCCAAAAGAGGGCAUCAGUGCUCUCCUGGAGUUGGAGUGACAGGCAAUUGGGAGCUGCCUAACAUGGCAGGUAUUGGGAAUCAAACUCCAGUACUCAAGUGAAGCAAGCUCUCUUAACCACCGAGUCAUCUCUCCAGGCUCCGGAGAGAUGGCUCUGUAGUCAAAAAGCACCGGCUGGUCUUCCAAAGGACAUGGGUUCAAUUCCUAGGACCCAUAUGCUGCUCUCUUCUGGCAUCCUUAGGUAUCGGGCACAUACAAUGGUACAGGGGACAUAAGUGCAAGCAAAAUACUCAUAUGCAUAAGAAAAAUUAUUAAAGUUGAGAAUAAUAUAUGCUAAAAAUU